UAAUUUCUCCUACUUAAAAUUUAAUAACCUCUGUUCUACAGGCGGGCUCCUGACUUCUUUAAUACGACAACCUACAUUCUACAGGCGGGCUCCUAAUUUAAACAACUUAAAAAUAACACCUCUGUUCUACGAGCGGGCUCUCGACUUCAACUGCGACUUAAAAUUUAGCAACCUCCAUUCUAACAGGCGGGCACCUGAUUUUCUCAACAUAAAAUGUAGCAAGCAUCCAUUCUACAGGCAGGCUCAUG
RNAcentral lists this long non-coding RNA (248 nucleotides) under Nicotiana benthamiana. Its description in RNAcentral is "long non-coding RNA (NBEN_LNC036296)". The record is from RNAcentral. Lineage: Eukaryota; Viridiplantae; Streptophyta; Magnoliopsida; Solanales; Solanaceae.